RNAcentral lists this ribosomal RNA (195 nucleotides) under uncultured bacterium. Its description in RNAcentral is "partial 16S ribosomal RNA". It matches the Rfam family "Bacterial small subunit ribosomal RNA", at positions 1306 to 1500 of the family's 1533-position model. The record is from RNAcentral.
UGCAACUCGCCUACACGAAGUUGGAAUUGCUAGUAAUCGUGGACCAGCAUGCCACGGUGAAUACGUUCCCGGGUCUUGUACACACCGCCCGUCACACCAUGGGAGCUGGUAACACCCGAAGUCAGUAGUCUAACCGCAAGGAGGACGCUGCCGAAGGUGGGAUUAGCGACUGGGGUGAAGUCGUAACAAGGUAAC